UGACUNGAGUGCAGAAGGGGAGAGUGGAAUUCCAUGUGUAGCGGUGAAAUGCGUAGAUAUAUGGAGGAACACCAGUGGCGAAAGCGGCUCUCUGGUCUGUCACUGACGCUGAGGCUCGAAAGCGUGGGUAGCGAACAGGAUUAGAUACCCUGGUAGUNCACGCCGUAAACGAUGAGUGCUAGGUGUUAGGCCCUUUCCGGGGCUUAGUGCCGGAGCUAACGCAAUAAGCACUCCGCCUGGGGAGUACGACCGCAAGGUUGAAACUCAAAGGAAUUGACGGGGGCCCGCACAAGCGGUGGAGCAUGUGGUUUAAUUCGAAGCAACGCGAAGAACCUUACCAGGUCUUGACAUCCCGAUGCUAUUCUUAGAGAUAGGAAGUUACUUCGGUACAUCGGAGACAGGUGGUGCAUGGUUGUCGUCAGCUCGUGUCGUGAGAUGUUGGGUUAAGUCCCGCAACGAGCGCAACCCUUAUUGUUAGUUGCCAUCAUUAAGUUGGGCACUCUAGCGAGACUGCCGGUAAUAAACCGGAGGAAGGUGGGGAUGACGUCAAAUCAUCAUGCCCCUUAUGACCUGGGCUACACACGUGCUACAAUGGUCGGUACAACGAGUUGCGAGCCGGUGACGGCAAGCUAAUCUCUGAAAGCCGAUCUCAGUUCGGAUUGGAGGCUGCAACUCGCCUCCAUGAAGUCGGAAUCGCUAGUAAUCGCGGAUCAGCACGCCGCGGUGAAUACGUUCCCGGGCCUUGUACACACCGCCCGUCACACCACGAGAGUUUGUAACACCCGAAGUCGGUGAGGUAACCUUUUAGGGGCC
RNAcentral lists this ribosomal RNA (813 nucleotides) under uncultured bacterium. RNAcentral describes it as "bacterial SSU rRNA". It matches the Rfam family "Bacterial small subunit ribosomal RNA", at positions 638 to 1450 of the family's 1533-position model. The record is from RNAcentral.